Larimichthys crocea (large yellow croaker) is the source of this 622-nucleotide long non-coding RNA. RefSeq lists it as uncharacterized. Lineage: Eukaryota; Metazoa; Chordata; Actinopteri; Sciaenidae. The record is from RefSeq and is a predicted model, not a curated record. The transcript is spliced from 3 exons.
AGACAGUCCUUCCGGUGGUGGAGAUCCCUGGAGAACGCUGCAACCAUUUGAUGUAGUGGGAGGACCACUGACAGGUGGCUGCUUCUUCUUCUCAGGCCUCACUUUCUUCACUCUGAGUGCACAUCAUCCUGAAACAAGAAAGGCAUGACUGUACAAAACAGACCACAAAAGCCUGACUCUUACCAAAAGGUGAGAGCGAAGUAUGAAACAAUUUCAAAUACAUAUUUUUACAAAAAAAAAAAAUUAGGAUUAUACUGGGGUUCAGAUGUUUUUAAAUCAGAUAAUGUGUGUAUGCGUUUCUAUUUCUUACAUGUCUUGUGGGCACAAUUUGUAUUUUUGCUGAGGCUGGCAGGGAGAGAUAAAGUUCAACUGUAUGUAUAAGUUGAAGUUCAUAACAGAACAAGGGUUGGAGACAGGUCAGGGAGGUGUCCUUUAAACAAGGGGAAAGUCUGCUGACUACUGAUUAAGAGAACUGAGAAAGACGUUAUGAUGCUAUCUGCAUCUAUGGGGAGGUGUCCGAGAGUGUAUAAGAACUAACUGUCAAGGCUCUUCUGGGAGCCUUUCCUCUGUAACCCCUUUUGUGUGUUGCGCUGUUAAACGCUUCUUGUACAAGAAUAAUAAA